RNAcentral lists this long non-coding RNA (1940 nucleotides) under Sorghum bicolor (sorghum). Its description in RNAcentral is "long non-coding RNA (SBIC_LNC017875)". The record is from RNAcentral. Lineage: Eukaryota; Viridiplantae; Streptophyta; Magnoliopsida; Poales; Poaceae.
CCGCAACGUCGCCUAAGCCCCUUCACCGCAGACCCCGGCGCUGCCCCGCCCGCAACCGCACGGCUCACCGAGCCCGGCCGCAACGCCGCCCAGGCCGGCGGCUCGCCCUCCCCCAGCCACCCCGCCCCUAGCAGGCGGCUCAUCGGAGCCCGGCCGCCCUGCCCUCGGCAGACGGCUCAUCGGAGCCUAGCCGCCCCACUCGUGGCCGUCGGCCCGCCCUCCCCCGACAGGCCCACCACCGACCGGCGGCUCGCCGGAGGCUGGAGCCCCAUUGCGUUCUUGUGUGCACUGUGCGACAGGACGGCCAGAAGAGCCCAUCUGGACGGUAUGCUACGGCCAUUUUAGUGAAUACAGUAACAAAUUAGUGUAUUUCUCUAUUGUCCUGAAUAUUAUUUUUGUAUUAAUAUGUUUUUUGCCGUUGGAUUUGUAACUUGUUGCUGCUCUGGGCAGAUUUCAGGCCACUCGGCGGCUGCUGAGAGUUCAGGCAAGUAAUUCUUGCAGAUCUGCUCGAAAUUCAAUCUAAAGUACUUAUGCUAGGCCAUAAUUCUUUUUUGAUCGAAUGCAACAUGCUGGUAAUUUCUAAUCUUGGACAACUAAUAAUAGUGUUGUUAUUUUUUUGACUGAUUGAUUCUUAUGUUCAAUUUUUUUAACCAAAUUAUGCAUAGGAUUGAUUACUUUCUAUACUUUGAAGGUAUGUACUGCAUGUUUUGUUUGGUAGGUAGGUUUAGCAUGACUGGGUUCAGUAACAAAAUCAUCAUAAUUCCUUUUACUUAUGGUGAGGUUGCUAUCUAUGAAUUUGUCUAUAUGAUACAUGAUGUGAUGUCUCUUAUAGUAGAAGCUCAAAGGAUAUGAAUUUGUGAUCCAUGGAUUUUUAUCCCCCUACUGCACAUAUACCUUGGUAUCUGAUUUCUGCUAAUGAUGAUUUUGCAGGUACUUUUCUGAGUUCAAGUCAGGUGCAAAGAUGAUGUAUUACUGUGGAGAGCACCAUGAAUGCUUUAAAAUCUGCUCAGGUUUGAUCUUUGUGUUUGGCCUUGUAUUUUCAUUGUAAUGGAUUUUUUAUUUUCAAAGGAGAUACGAUAUUCUCUUUACCUAUUUCUAAGUGAUCUUUUGCACACUACUGUCUUCUUUUUUAACUCUAAUGAUUGCUAGUCAGUUCCUGUAAAUGAACGUGUUUUACAGUGGAAAAUGCAAAGAUGAGAUCCUGCAUGAUUUGACUGAAUAGGAUGUCCUACAUAAUUUGGUUCAGUAGCUAGUAUUGUACAGAACACUAGGAUUAGUAAGAACGAAAAAACAUACUCAUGUAUUUGCUCUUUAUCCUUCUCUAUAAUCAGUUCAUUUAGUAAUAUUUCAAACUUUUUUACUAGAUGGAGAAUCACUCAAAUACGUAACACUCAGUUCAUACAAAACAGUUAGAGAACAAUUCCAUGCAACGGCAUAGAAUGAGUAGGUUACCUUUUUUAAGAUAAUGAGUAGGUUACCCUUCUUAAAAAUAAUGAGUAGGUUACCCUUUUAAUCUAUAGAAAUUUUGUAGUCCAACUCAUACUUACAAUAUACUAUCUGUUUUACAGCUAGUUCAUCUCAUGUUAAUGAGGACAUCUAUGGUGACGACAUGGACAACGAGAAUACAUGGACGUCAACGACUUGUCCUUUUUGAACAACUUAUGUCUUAGCUGUCUUUUGUCUUCUGAAUAUGUAUGGUUGAGGGUUGAGCCUAGAUACUACAAUGUUAGAUGGUCUUAGCUAAAACCACAACGUAGCAUGCGACAUGGAUGUACAUGAAUAACUUAGCAGGCAUGUGCUGGUGGUAGGAUGAUGGUGGUACAAUGACGUUUGUGAUAUGUAUGUGAUGUCUGUGAUAUAUGUGUUGUUGAUGGUCUAUAUGUGAUGUCUAUUAUAUAUACUCUCUGUUUGUUUGGAUGGAAUGCAAAAAACAAAUAAAA